AGAUAUCUUGGUGUUUGAUGCUGAUCUUGCAGAGCGAUAGCGUGUGUUCGAGGAAGAAUUUUCAAUCUACAUUGAUGCUGCUUAUCCGAACGCAGCACCCGCUCUUCGUGCCUCGAUUCUCCUUAAAUUAGCAGGCACUGAAGCUGCACGACGUGCCAGAAGAUUUCACUAUGCACCGGCUGGUGACACUAUUCUACAUAAG
Molecule: long non-coding RNA, 202 nt
Organism: Amblyraja radiata (thorny skate)
Lineage: Eukaryota; Metazoa; Chordata; Chondrichthyes; Rajiformes; Rajidae
Exons: 3
Source: RefSeq, a predicted model, not a curated record